This 397-nucleotide ribosomal RNA is filed under the name uncultured microorganism. Its description in RNAcentral is "bacterial SSU rRNA". It matches the Rfam family "Bacterial small subunit ribosomal RNA", at positions 9 to 403 of the family's 1533-position model. The record is from RNAcentral.
GAGUUUGAUCGUGGCUCAGGACGAACGCUGGCGGCGUGCCUAAUACAUGCAAGUCGAGCGAGGGUUUUUAAGACCCCAGCGGCGGACGGGUGAGUAACACGUAGGCAACCUGCCUCUCAGACCGGGAUAACAUAGGGAAACUUAUGCUAAUACCGGAUAGGUUUUUGGAUUGCAUGAUCCGAAAAGAAAAGAUGGCUUUUCGCUAUCACUGGGAGAUGGGCCUGCGGCGCAUUAGCUAGUUGGUGGGUAACGGCCUACCAAGGCGACGAUGCGUAGCCGACCUGAGAGGGUGACCGGCCGACACUGGGACUGAGACACGGCCCAGACUCCUACCGGGAGGCAGCGAGUAGGGAAUUUUCCACAAUGGACGAAAGUACUGAUGGAGCAACGCCGCGUG